GCCGCGCGCUGGCGCACUUUGAGAAGCGCCCAAAAGCCGGAGCCCGCUGUCACAUCUGUGGGGUUCCACGGAACGCGCAGACGUGGGCUGCCAGCUGCUGGUGGACCUGAAUGAGAAGAGAUUGACCCAAAACUCGAAUGAUGAGGACAGUGCACGUUUGCUUUUCCUAUAGAGGACAAUGCACGUCUGCUUUUCCUGCUUGAGAAAAUCCAACUGAGUGCCAGCUCACAGAGGAAGUAUUUUUCCAGAUAAACUCUCUGGGCAUGCUGUUCUCUCCUGGUUCAACCCACAAGGUUCCACCCAUGCAGAGGUUAUUCCUGUGCCCGUCUUCCAAAGCCCAGGCUCCAUGAAGGCACAGAUGAAGAUGCCAUCACUGACGGCUUGACCAAACUCAAUGCUUCCCAACGUCAGCGAGUUCUGAUCACCUACAAGAGCACUCCUGCAGGUAGGUGCUCUGCAGAGAUGUGUGAACGUGGUUGGGUCACUGGGUGAAAAGCGAAAAAUGACCCAGCCUCCAUAAGAGAAAGGUCAGCAGAGACUUUACCUGGCCAAGGUUGUUUUGUUCCUGUUCAGUUCAGUGCAGUUGUUGAUGCAAGGAGGGUUGGAGCCUGAAGAGAAGUGGUGAGCAGCUCAGUUCCUUCUGUCCUCGAAGGCCGCGCCUUCUGCCAGCUCCUUUCUCCUCUCUUGGCCUUCUAGGGUUUGAUCGAUGACUGGAAGUGACUUGAAGCUGAGUGGGAAUUCUGAGAGGGUGAUGAUUGGGAUGAUGACCGCCAGCACCGUGUGUGACGUGCAGAACUAAGGAGGGCUGUGAAGGUUUGGAAGUCUUCCUUUCGAAUGGCUCAAGUUCUGGCCAAGGACUUGCUGCUUUGUUAUGUACGUCUUCUCAUUUAUUAACUCUUAAAGAAACCUGGCUGCACGUCACAAGCAGGUGCUGGUAUCUGAAAUCUUGCUUGGCGAUUCCCUAGGGAGCAGGAACAGGUGAAGGCUGCCUGAUUGAAAUUCUGGCUUCUCACACCAGUGAAGAGAUUGGUCACAUUGAUGAGAACUGCGAGCUUCGUAAGCAGAGCAAAAGGGCAGGCCUUGUCCUGCUGCCUGCCAUCAGUGUGUGUGUGUGCAGGCAGGCGUGAUAGGAAGGAGUCUGGGGAGCUUUCAGGUGUGACAAACUGGCCAACCUGGGUGUUGCUGUUUGUGCAGAGAGAAGCUAGACUGGAAUUUCAGCAGCAGCUGAACUGGUGUAACUGAAAUGGGGAGGAGCAUUCUGUCUGUCAGCGGGACGUGUGGCUCUCUUGCCAGUUUCUUGCUGUCUGUGCUUCUUAAUUGGAGGCUGCAGCACUGAUGAUGAUGGCUGGAGCGCUGCAGUGAUGCCGAGAGAUGCAGCCAGGUGAUGGCUGGCAAAUGUUGUGGGCAGCACCCAGGUGGUGGCCCUGCUCCUUACGGAUGCUGUGUGUGUUCCUGCUGGAAGCUGGCUGCUCCCUUGAGGAUGGCGUCGUAUCUGACACAUCUGCCGUGUUCCCAAGGGUCCUCGUGUCCCUCAUGGCGCUGAGCCACGCUGAGGGAGAAGGGGCUGAAUGUUCAGAGCUGUGGGCACAGCUCUGCACUCAGUGGUGAGGAGCUCCAGGCUGGCUUUUUCUCACCCUGUGCGUCCCAUGGCUGCUCCUCAAGCCCAGCUUCUGCAGGGAGGGGGCUCUGACUCUGGCUGUGCGUGAGUGCUGUGGGCUCUUCUUUAAACAUGCCAGUAAAGUGGGUUGCUGCUCGUUUCAGAAGGAGCCCAAAGCACACUUGAGCUGUGUUUCGCUGUGUUUGUGAGCUGUGUUCCCUUUGAAGGACUCCAUUAUCCAUCUCCAGCACCCGUUCCUGAAUGGGGAGUUCUCAGGAGUUGCUUCCAGUAGAUGCUCUGGUGAACCGAGUCUUCUCUCCUUGUGUCCUUGCAGAGGUGAGGGAAUGCAUGUGGAUGAUGGCCUUGCUCAGCAGAUGCUCAGGUCAGUUGUCCAUCUCAACAUCCAGCGCAGGAACAACAUUUCAUUCCCGCAGUGCAUAAUGCUGUGAAGGCAUCGCAGGCCGCCCGCUCGUCUCCGCCGUGCUCAGGGGCUUUGCUGAGCUGCCGGCCCAGUGCUGCAGCCCCACAGCGCAGCCUCAUGUCUGGUGACGGACUGCAGCUGGAAAACCCUGGCAGCGGAGGAUGCUCCUGCCCCACAGAAGGACUCGCAGCUCCAGCACCCUCAGUGCUGGAAGGAGGCUGCAGUGCCUCCACGCGAUGGAUGCGGUCCACCCGACAGCUCAUGUGGCUCACUGUGCGAGGCCAGCAGGAAGAAAGGUGGGCACGGGAUUAUCAUGAGCUCUAAAUAUGCAGCUAAAAGAGUCUGAAAACCAGGAGUCCAAACCCUUGUCUGUGGAAGGCCCACCUUGUUACCCAGCUCCCGAGCAAAGAAAAAGAAGAAUCAAGUCUUCAGUCAGCACACACACUCCAGUCAGUCAGCUCCGCAAUAAAAGCUACCUUUUCCAUGCACCUCCA
This is a long non-coding RNA of Centrocercus urophasianus (Greater sage-grouse), 2512 nucleotides long. RefSeq lists it as uncharacterized. NCBI's taxonomy places the organism in Eukaryota, Metazoa, Chordata, Aves, Galliformes, Phasianidae. The transcript is spliced from 6 exons. The record is from RefSeq and is a predicted model, not a curated record.